This 497-nucleotide ribosomal RNA is filed under the name uncultured bacterium. RNAcentral describes it as "partial 16S ribosomal RNA". It matches the Rfam family "Bacterial small subunit ribosomal RNA", at positions 28 to 507 of the family's 1533-position model. The record is from RNAcentral.
GACGAACGCUGGCGGCGUGCCUAAUACAUGCAAGUUGAGCGAUGAAGAUUGGUGCUUGCACCCAUUUGAAGAGCAGCGAGCGGGUGAGUAACGCGUGGGGAAUCUGCCUUUGAGCGGGGGACAACAUUUGGAAACGAAUGCUAAUACCGCAUAACAACUUUAAACAUAAGUUUUAAGUUUGAAAGAUGCAAUUGCAUCACUCAAAGAUGAUCCCGCGUUGUAUUAGCUAGUUGGUGAGGUAAAGGCUCACCAAGGCGAUGAUACAUAGCCGACCUGAGAGGGUGAUCGGCCACAUUGGGACUGAGACACGGCCCAAACUCCUACGGGAGGCAGCAGUAGGGAAUCUUCGGCAAUGGACGAAAGUCUGACCGAGCAACGCCGCGUGAGUGAAGAAGGUUUUCGGAUCGUAAAACUCUGUUGGUAGAGAAGAACGUUGGUGAGAGUGGAAAGCUCAUCAAGUGACGGUAACUACCCAGAAAGGGACGGCUAACUACGUG